GCUAAAUAAGAGCGUAUGGGGAAUGCCUAGGCUCUCAGAGGCGAUGAAGGACGUGAUAAGCUGCGAAAAGCUACGGGGAUUGGCACAUACAAAUUGAUCCGUAGAUAUCCGAAUGGGGCAACCCAGCAUGUUGAAGACAUGUUAUCCGCAAGGAGGCGAACCCGGAGAACUGAAACAUCUAAGUACCCGGAGGAGAAGAAAACAAAAGUGAUUCCGAUAGUAGCGGCGAGCGAAAUUGGAUUAGCCCAAACCAGUAUUGUUACGGCAAUGCUGGGGUUGUAGGACCACAAUAUUCGAUGCAUAAUGAAUUAGAACAGUUUGGAAAGACUGACCGAAGAGGGUGAUAGUCCCGUAUAAGUAAAGAUUGUUAAGAUAGUGGUAUCCUGAGUAGUGCGGGGCACGUGAAACCCUGUGUGAAUCAGUCGGGACCAUCCGAUAAGGCUAAAUACUCCUGAGAGACCGAUAGUGAACUAGUACCGUGAGGGAAAGGUGAAAAGAACCCUGAACAAGGGAGUGAAAAAGAUCCUGAAACCGUGUGUUUACAAGCGGUCGAAGCCUUAGGGCGACGGCGUGCCUUUUGCAUAAUGAUCCUACGAGUUACUCCUCAUUGGCAAGGUUAAGUCUUUAAGGGACGAAUCCGAAGCGAAAGCGAGUCUGAAUAGGGCGACAUAGUCAGUGGGGGUAGACGCGAAACCUUGUGAUCUACCCAUGGCCAGGUUGAAGUUUUGGUAACACAAAAUGGAGGACCGAACUCAUAUACGUUGAAAAGUGUUGAGAUGAGCUGUGGGUAGGGGUGAAAGGCCAAUCAAACUGGGAAAUAGCUCGUACUCCCCGAAAUGCUUUUAGGAGCAGCGUGGAGGUUAAGUCUGUUAGAGGUAGAGCUACCGAUAGGACUAGGGGGAGUCAAAUCCUACCAAAUCCUGACGAACUCCGAAUGCUAACAGAUAUACUCCGCAGUGAGGGCAAGGGUGCUAAGGUCCUUGUCCGAGAGGGAAAGAACCCAGACCAUCUGCUAAGGUCCCCAAAUGUAUGCUAAGUUGAUCAAACGUGGUCUGAUUGCUUUGACAGCUAGGAUGUUGGCUUGGAAGCAGCCAUUCAUUUAAAGAGUGCGUAACAGCUCACUGGUCGAGCGACAGGGCAUCGAUGAUGAUCGGGCAUUAAGUAUACCACCGAAGCUAAGGCAGUAUUUUAUACUGGGUAGGG
This 1203-nucleotide ribosomal RNA is filed under the name Strombidinopsis acuminata. RNAcentral describes it as "partial Bacterial large subunit ribosomal RNA". It matches the Rfam family "Bacterial large subunit ribosomal RNA", at positions 1 to 1233 of the family's 2925-position model. The record is from RNAcentral. Lineage: Eukaryota; Ciliophora; Spirotrichea; Choreotrichida; Strombidinopsidae.